Molecule: long non-coding RNA, 262 nt
Filed under: Elaeis guineensis (African oil palm)
Lineage: Eukaryota; Viridiplantae; Streptophyta; Magnoliopsida; Arecales; Arecaceae
Description: long non-coding RNA (EGUI_LNC009597)
Source: RNAcentral
CUCAUGAAGCACACCACUGAGUUCUCAUUCUCAUUUUUCUCUGCUCUCUUCACUGGAUUUUUCUUCUUGUGUUGCUGCCUCUUCCCUCACCCUUACUGCGUUCCAAACCUCGCAAGAGCCAAGGUAUUGCCACCUCCAUUCAAUUGAUUUUCACCUUUCCUAAUUGUCCCAAUCAGGAACUGUUGCUGCCGGUUAGUGGGUCAUCGAUGAGCAUCGGAAUUAUCCAAGACCUGAACUUAAAAUCUUUGUUUUCUUAACAGAG